This 171-nucleotide unclassified non-coding RNA is filed under the name uncultured Sebacinaceae. Its description in RNAcentral is "sequence contains ITS1". Lineage: Eukaryota; Fungi; Basidiomycota; Agaricomycetes; Sebacinales; Sebacinaceae. The record is from RNAcentral.
UCGAUUGUGAAUAGUUACCUUCAGUGCUGGCCUUGGUGCAUGUGCACGUUGGUGACUUUCAUCCACACACUUGUGCACCUUUGGCCUCAUGCUGGCUUCGGCUGGCAGAGGAUUUUUAUACACCCACUCGAAUGUAAUGAAAUUAGUGUGUUGUGCGCAAGCACGAAUGUA